RNAcentral lists this ribosomal RNA (253 nucleotides) under uncultured bacterium. Its description in RNAcentral is "partial 16S ribosomal RNA". It matches the Rfam family "Bacterial small subunit ribosomal RNA", at positions 524 to 776 of the family's 1533-position model. The record is from RNAcentral.
UACGGAGGGUGCAAGCGUUAUCCGGAAUCAUUGGGUUUAAAGGGUCCGUAGGCGGACUAAUAAGUCAGAGGUGAAAUCCAGCAGCUCAACUGUUGAACUGCCUUUGAUACUGUUAGUCUUGAGUUAUUGUGAAGUGGUUAGAAUAUGUAGUGUAGCGGUGAAAUGCAUAGAUAUUACAUAGAAUACCAAUUGCGAAGGCAGAUCACUAACAAUAUACUGACGCUGAUGGACGAAAGCGUGGGGAGCGAACGGG